Molecule: ribosomal RNA, 427 nt
Filed under: uncultured Acidobacterium sp.
Lineage: Bacteria; Pseudomonadati; Acidobacteriota; Terriglobia; Terriglobales; Acidobacteriaceae
Description: bacterial SSU rRNA
Rfam family: Bacterial small subunit ribosomal RNA
Source: RNAcentral
AACGCGAAGAACCUUACCUGGGCUCGAAAUGUUAUGGACCGGGGUAGAAAUAUCCCUUCCCAGCAAUGGGCCGUAAUAUAGGUGCUGCAUGGCUGUCGUCAGCUCGUGUCGUGAGAUGUUGGGUUAAGUCCCGCAACGAGCGCAACCCUUAUCUUCAGUUGCUACCAUUUAGUUGAGCACUCUGACGAAACCGCCUCGGAUAACGGGGAGGAAGGUGGGGAUGACGUCAAGUCCUCAUGGCCUUUAUGUCCAGGGCUACACACGUGCUACAAUGGCCGGUACAAACCGUCGCAAACCCGUGAGGGGGAGCUAAUCGGAAAAAGCCGUCCUCAGUUCGGAUUGUAGUCUGCAACUCGACUACAUGAAGCUGGAAUCGCUAGUAAUCGCGGAUCAGAACGCCGCGGUGAAUACGUUCCCGGGCCUUGUA